CUUUAAUUAAUGCAAACACUUGAAUGGUAAAUAUGUGGUUAGUAUAUACGGGGUCGCUGUGUCACCACGCAGGGCAAACAGAGAACUGAGUUACACAUCCUUUGCUUUUCAUUAAAUACUCUGACAGAGAUAGUUCCCGCUCACUGCUGGCCUGUCAGAGGGAGGAUGAGCGUGGUUUAAACUUACUCAUCCUAUCGUUGGCGUGCAGGUUGGUCCCAACUUCGAGACGCCUCCUGUUGCCGGGCGUAGUUAUUAUCUUUGGCAGUCGAUUUAUCUUGUGACUGCACAAUGCACAGUUCUCUAAAACCCCGACACCCCUCUGCAUAUACAUUUCACCCAUAUCCUGCCCUUAUCUUUUAACAAGCUCUUCCAUAUCCCUGAUUUACAGCAUCUGCAUUCUUUCCAUAUGACUCAACAUCCCAUGAGCCCCUUCCUCUCACACAGCAGUAUGCUCUUAUCAUAUAGAGUAUAAACUUAAUAUUAUAGCAUAGCUUCUUUGUUAUAUUAUAUAGGUUAUGCAAACAAAUAGUUGGUCAAACCCUAACAAUCCCCCUUUUCACACCUGAUAGGUGUGAAUACAUAAUUUCUUAAAAUUUCAGGGAAAUUUUGAGAUUCCCCCUUUUGACACCCCCUAGGGUGUCACUCAACACAAUUAUAAAUUCACAUUUUAAUGAUUAAAUGAUUAGUUUAAAAAACCCUCAAGUCCUUCCGGCUACACCUCACUUGUACUAGGUUGACUACCAGCCACCCAGGAACUUCAAACCUUCACAUAAGGAAAGACAAAUAGUACACAGGAUUCAUUCAGAACAUACUAAUUAAAAAACUUAGAAAAAUAAGACCUUCCUGCGACAGUGGCUACACCUAACAUGUAUGGGACAGACUUUUUGUCCCAGUACUUAAAACCUUCACAUCCACCUGCCACUACAUUACAUAUGAGUACAUUUUAGAUAAGGUUUAUUCGACCACUUCCUCAACAGUAAACCAAGGAUCAUCCUCAGACAGACCCGUCUUUUGCCCAGAGGUUGAUUCAGUAUCCACUGGGGUCACUUCCAUCAAAGACAUCAUUCCGGUUGCUCUGACAACUUCUGUAAGAUAUACAGGCAACACAACACAACAAUAAUAAGAACACAAGCACUAGGGAUUAUACAGGCAACACAACACAACAAUAAUAAGAACACAAGCACUAGGGUCAGAAAUCCAGUAACCACCAUAGAUGUGUACUUACCAAAAAAGGUAUUCAGCCAAUUCUCCUCGUAUACCCCCGCUACACCCUUCAUUUCAGCAGAUAGCUUGUCAAGUCCCAGUAGGGCUUUGGUAAUGCUACCAUAGGGCUGGUGUUAUUAGGGAUAAAAGUACAGCAUUGUUCACCAAACGUUUUAUACACCCCCCAUUAUUAGCCAAUAUCAUAUCCAACUCCAAUCUAUUUUGUCUAGCGGUUCUAGUGGUAGCCUCUAGUUGCUCAGCCAUACCUGUCAGUGCAGUGCGAGUAUAGUUAACAAAUCUCUGUUACACACACAUCAGUAAAGAACUCAACCCAGCUUUAGGCGGCUGUAUUUUUCCCACAGUACACAUACAUUCCUUAACAACCUUGCCACCUGUCUUCUAAUCUCCUGCCCACUAGCCGUUCCCAGGCCGUUGUUACUCUCCCUA
RNAcentral lists this long non-coding RNA (1650 nucleotides) under Salmo salar (Atlantic salmon). RNAcentral's name for it is "lncRNA (ENSSSAG00000119897.1)". The record is from RNAcentral. Lineage: Eukaryota; Metazoa; Chordata; Actinopteri; Salmoniformes; Salmonidae.